UCUUGAUGGUGUUGACCUGCUAUUUUUUUCCUCUUUAGUGCUGACAUUUUGGUCUCUCGGAAUAUUUUAAUGUCAUUUGAAUUCAGAUAAUUUUGUUACUCAUGCAUAGAGCCUUUGCAUCUGAAAGGUGGUUUGCGCGAUCGCAACCAAUCUUACAUGUGUUUGUAUUUUUGUUUCAACAGGAACUUCUCAUCAAAGGAACUGCAAGGGCCAACUCUCUUGUGACCGGUGACCUGACGGAGCCUUUUUUGGCGUGAACUGAUAACCUUAUGGUGCUAACUAGGAUGCAUGCUUUGCUGCCACUUUUACAGAGGUUGUUCAUGUUAUCUUAGAUGCCCCCGAGAUGUACCGUUGUGCUUUCAUGAAAGAAAAUGCAGAUGGAACGAGGGUGGGAGGUGGUGACGCAUCAGCACCGGAGACGCAGAUCCGCGGCGGAGCAGGAUAGGUGACGAGGACGACCUGUGACUCCUCAUGGCAAAUAAAUUUCUCACAUCCCCUCCCUGGCUCCCUUCCUCUGCUUCGCUGCUGUAGUAACCCCACCAUCCGGCUCGUGGAGAAGUCUCAGUUGAGGAGAGGGUGGCGCUGCCGCAUCCAUUCUCCUCAGACGUUGUGUUUCCCUUUCCCCUUCCUCAAUCUGCCUUUUCCCAGUUGUUCUCGCUUCUUUGAGCAUGGGCUGAUGUGUAGGCUUGAUCUAUUAUUUUGCAGGUCCUGCUCGCUGUUGGUUGUAACAUCAUCGUCUACCAGACAGCCUCCACACCGCAAGAGAUGGAGAUGGUUGCCGUCGGAACCGGUGGUUGAGGUCGAGUACGCCUCGUUGUCGUCGGCGUCUACAUCCGUUACGUGUGAGGAACUUGCUGAUGCUGGCACCAGAUUCAGCAGGGAGGAUAUUUAUGAGGCCUUUCAUUCUUGUGGUAUUCCCACACAUCUUGCAAGUUCAAGAGGGUGAGCCCAGCUGAAUGUGCGGCGACGUCUUGUACCUUUGCAAGCCGAGUAUCUUGCUCUAAUUUGUUGACAGGGUAAGAGGUACAGUCACCAAUCCAUACGCACUUCUGCACUUUUUCGCUAUUUCUUGGUCACAUGGCUGAUUUAUUUUUCAAGAUCUAUGUGGAAGAUCAUCAUUAUGUUGAAUUUUAGUGAGAAAAGUCAUUGCCAUUCUAACUUUGGUUUUUGAUUUAAUGUACUGCUUCCAUCAUUUCUCCAUGAGGUGGAAAAAGGACGGGUAGAACAUCUAAGGCCAAUAAUCCUAUAUGUUUUAUGAAGCAAGGUCCAGUAGCCAGUGGUUCUUUCAGCACUUCUGAAAUACUAUUCUUUUAUACAUAAAAAAAUUAACUGGAAUUUAAGAAAGUUCACACUGCAUCUCUGAGGGCUCAAGAAAGAGACAAGAACUUGUGCUUCCAGCAGCGAAUAUAGCUAGCCUAGAUGAAUCAGAACAAGAACAAGUGUCGAGAAGUUACAGAUGAGGAAGUGCAGCUGGUAUGGCCUCUCCGUUUUUGCCCCAAAUCAAGCACGGAAAAAACUGCUGGACAAUCAACUUCUUGCCAAUUUAUAGUUGACUUCCUGCUAUGAUUCGCUCCCUAAAAGAAAUUGCAAUCAUCUUGAAACAAGUAAUUUAUCUAGCUACAAAUGCUUAUUCUAGACUGAUUAUGUUGCUUCCAAUUGCGGAUAGUGCGUUAUAGUUGACACUUUAGUCUACAUAUCUGCUAAAUAUUUACAUGUCUGCACGGCCAGAAAAAUCAGAUAGUCUACUUAAACUUUAGUGAUGGGUAGUUAUUCUACUUCUUUGGCUAUAUGUUCAGCAAGGAUCGCACAUCUGAAACAAGUAGCUGGCUUGCUUUUGCUACAUGCUCCCUGUAUAUAACUCACUUUUCUAUUUCUUGAGGACAACACCAUGUAGAGCUUUUAGAGGUUGGUCCCGGUUUCAGAUACAAAGCGCCUGAUUGUUUUUUGUAAAUUUAUUCUGCUCCUUACAUGAUGGUCUGUGCUACUUCCAAACUUGAAUGCAGAUUUUAUUGUACAAUGUAAAUUAAAUCGUUCGUUUCUACUGCAUGUUAAAGGAGCUGGCCAAUGUUGGCAUGAAGUUAUAAGAGGUAGCUGGCUAUGGAGAAUUUUGGUACUGGUGAUGAAUUGCCACCUUUUCCUUGCUUGCCAUCAUGCCAUGAUUCGAAAUUUAGUUGCCAGAGACUACCAAAAAGGAUUGCGUGCGCUGCCAUCAUACAUUUACACCUCUAAACUUAGUUUGUUGACUAAAUUGUGUAGGUCCCUUUUGCCGAAGAAUGUUCUAGACUAGAUAGCCAGCUUGCUGUUGUUGUUUGGAACUUUUCAGUCGGGCUCUUUUGUUAAAGCGAAAACCAUAUAUAUGUAAUGUGUGCGGUGGUUUGUAGGACUUCACAGAUGUUGUACUAAAAUUCAGUUUCAAUGGAGUUCAGUUCAGUGAUGUUCUAGACUAGAUACCAUUCAAAAAAGGUCACACGUGGAUGUAGGAUCAUAGAAGAGUCAGGGGAAGAGGGAGGUACCUUCGUAGAUUGCCCAGGGGUAUUGGCGAUGUAUGCGGCAGGGCCAGAUGCUCUGAAUCAACAGGGCACCCCUCUGGCUGCCUUGCUCAUUCACACUUCUUUUUUGUUUGGGGAGGGGUGGGUUGCAAUCUGGACCGGGUGGGACGCUGGAAACUGUGAGCAAAAAUUUUCAAUCCAACCUAAGCUCCAAAUGAAAUUAGAUGUUUUUUUUAAAACUACUGUAUGAAGCGAAAACAAGUAUGCACACAAGUCGACCAGACAAUGGACAAAAAAACGGCCUGAACCGAAGUUAAAAACAGACUUCUGUUGAUUAGACACUCCCAUAAUAUAUGCCAGGAAUGUGUUUUCAUAGUUAAUUUUGUGGAUAUUUGAUUAAGCAUAAUUGUAUCAUGAUAUUUGGCUUGGUCCUCCAUUAUAUCAAUAAUAUAACCGAGUUUCAGAGAAGAUGCUUGAUCUGUUGUAUAGGCUCCUAUGUGCAUGUCAGGGACAGAAGUUGCUAAAGAAAGCUCCGACAUUAUAAUCUUAGAUGAUGACUUCGCAUCUGUUGUGAAGGGCAAAUCUUCACUGAAUCUUGGAGAGUGAUGGAAGAUAAUGGGCCCAAGCUUUCACGAACGCCAAGGAUCCAAUUUCAAGCUUUGGCCUCUUCCACAAAUUCGCCGUUGAAUCAGGAGGUCUACUGAAAAUUGGUCCUAGAGGAGCUCUCCAUGAAGUUUCUACAAGAACCAAAAUCAAUCCUACAAGCAUCAGAUAUAUCAAAGGAGGAAGCAUGGUUCCCAAGUGCAUACCUUAAUAUUAAUGAAUGUUGUCUACAACCAUGGCCUUCCCAAAACAGGACAACACAAUUAUUCUCUGGAGGGACAAGGGAUCUGAUGAUUAUCCAGUGAACUGUAUGUCUCUGAAGGAGCUUUGCACUCAACUGAUGUAUGCAUGUUUAAUCAAACUAAGAGUAGGAGAUAUGCAUAACCAGUCUUUGGGGUUAAUCUUUUUGUGAAAAGAAUUUCAUGAACAUGGAAAAAUGGCCAACUUUGCUUUGUACAAAAAAGGUAGACAUGAUAAUCUAUUUAUCUCUCACUGAACUACUCUGAAUUUUGUGGUACCUGGUGAAGUUUAAAAAAUGGUUAUUCCUUGCUACCUUUAAUGAUAAAUGAUAUUGAAUGUGUGACUAAAUAGUUCUGCUCAAGCACUCCUUGGACUCUUUUCAGAUGGUAUUGUCAAAGCUUUGGCUGAGAGAUUAUAUUAGUAGUGGUUCCAAAACAUUAACCGUUCAGUCAAAGACACUGGUUGUGAUCAGAACAUCAAUCAAGAGUGUGGAAUGUUUGAGCUGAGAAAUACUAGCAUGCUGCCAAUGAUUAGUGGUUAGAGGUUUUUCAUCUAUCAUGUUUAACCAAGGUAACCAUAUCAGGUAGAUUGCAUCGCACCUAAAACGUUUCUUGAAGAUUCAUGAUACUUUGGCUGCACUUCACUACAUGUCUCUCGCUGCGAAAGAAAGGCAUAUAUCCAUAUGAUACCGAAUCAGAUUCAGGCUGUUGUGAAGGUUCCGAUGAUGACAUGGGCGAUGGCUACACUAACUAUGUGUGAUUGCCAGAGCCAGUAAAUUAAUGUUAAGACACUUUGUUAUGCUCUAGCCCAGUAUAUUGUGAACACUAUGUAUUCUGCCCGCUCUAAAAACUUCAUGCAUCACUUGUGUUAGUUAGUUGCUUAGAUAACUUUCCCUAUCCACUGUAAUAUGUGCAUUUGCCAUAUAUUGAACCUACCAUCAAUGGCAUGUUCUGUACUAGCAUUUCCCUGUAUGCUUGUUGAUCGUCAUAUAUUUUCUUCAACACUUAUAUGCCCUCUUUCAGUACAGUUAUAUUGUGCGUUCUACUUAUGUAAGAGCACACUUCUAUUCUUCUUCUUUGUUUGAAUGCCCUUUAUUUUUCCUGUGUUUUACUUCUCCACGAUGAGGUCAAUUUCGAUACCGAUGACAUAUACAACAAUGACUCUACCUAAUUUUAGGAUGUGUUUGCUUUGUGUCACCAAGUGGAACGGCACGGGUUGGUUCCAUCCCAAGGACCCGUUCCGGUGUUUGGAUUGUGGAAGGAACCAGAACUCAGCGCUUCCAAGGAACAGCAUAUUCCCUGUUUAUGCCGAACCUAGGCGUUCCUCCAAAUCGGUCGGACCACGCGGAACGCCUCGCUCGCGUCUCUUGUCCUCAUCUCUCACCCACCUCGCGGCCCGCGGCCCAGCCACCCACGACCUCUGCCCUCUCUCCCUCGAUGGCCAUGGAGGCGGCCGUCGGCCGGAGCACCUUCCCUUCCUCCACUGCACCCCAUCAUCGACGGCGUCCUCUUGUGCGCGGUCGCGGCGGAUGCGCGGCCGAGGUCUGGCUCAUCGAAGACGCAGCCUGCAUCACACCCGCUAUGUCGCUGACCUCUGCCCCUCAUCGGAAGUGCAGCCUCGCCGGCGUCUCCUGUCCCUCCUAUCUACCCCUCGACCAGGGAUCUGGCGGAAGGAGUUCGGGGUGAGGUGCGUCUGUGUGUACGUGAGGAGGCGCAUGUGUGUGUGUGUGUGGCGUGGUGCGAUUAGAAGGCCAACCUAGCUCGCAACCAUGGCUGCCGAGCUCGAGCUUGAGCGGCUGGACGGCCUCGGUGCAAGAGCAAUGUGCAAUUCACCCCGUCGGCCAGAUGAUUGAAAAAGAACUGAAGGAGCAAGGCUGCGUUUGGGUGGCUGCUAUUGAUCCAGAAAUUUUGUAUUUGGGUCGCUGCUAUCGAUCUUGUGGACUGGAGGAGCAAGGCUGGACGAGCAAGCUGCAUUUUUUGCUUGUAGCACACAGAUCAGAUGCAGACUUUGGUAUUUGGGUGGCCUUUGUUUGAGUGAAAUCCAAUCAGAUUAGCUGCAAUUUGUUUUUGACAGAGUGUUCUUGAAUCUUGAUGCUCACACUGCUGCACAAUUCAAUAUUUAUCUGCCUUUUUAA
Aegilops tauschii subsp. strangulata is the source of this 5466-nucleotide long non-coding RNA. RefSeq lists it as uncharacterized. The record is from RefSeq and is a predicted model, not a curated record. NCBI's taxonomy places the organism in Eukaryota, Viridiplantae, Streptophyta, Magnoliopsida, Poales, Poaceae.